UAGACCAGGGCUGCCCAACCCUCUUCCUGGAGAUCUACCGUCCUGUGGGUUUUCAGUUCAACCCUCUUCCUGGAGAUCUACCGUCCUGUGGGUUUUCAGUUCAACCCUCUUCCUGGAGAUCUACCGUCCUGUGGGUUUUCAGUUCAACCCUCUUCCUGGAGAUCUACCAUCCUGUGGGUUUUCAGUUCAACCCUCUUCCUGGAGAUCUACCGUCCUGUGGGUUUUCAGUUCAACCCUCUUCCUGGAGAUCUACCGUCCUGUGGGUUUUCAGUUCAACCCUCUUCCUGGAGAUCUACCAUCCUGUGGGUUUUCAGUUCAACCCUCUUCCUGGAGAUCUACCGUCCUGUGGGUUUUCAGUUCAACCCUCUUCCUGGAGAUCUACUG
Oncorhynchus keta (chum salmon) is the source of this 384-nucleotide long non-coding RNA. RefSeq lists it as uncharacterized. The transcript is spliced from 3 exons. Lineage: Eukaryota; Metazoa; Chordata; Actinopteri; Salmoniformes; Salmonidae. The record is from RefSeq and is a predicted model, not a curated record.